AUUCUUCACUGUAGUUAUAUGAAUUUUAAUAUGUUAAGAUUCUGGGUGAGUUAGAAUAUUUUAUACUUUGAAAGUAAACAGUAAUAUCCUCUUAAUUUUUUUUAGCAGUAUAUUGACCAUAAUGAAUUGUCUGUAUUUACAGAGAUAUCUUGAUCACACUUGAGCACCAUACCUGAAUUAAUUAUUUAGGAACCACCAAAUAGAUUAGAACCUGCUUCUUCUCACCUGAGAUUGCCUAAUUGAGUUUGUGGUGGCCAUGCACAAUCCACUUGUUAAAUACUUCAGCUGCUGAGGUGAGCUGAAACAUAGCCUUUUGCUGCUUAUGAGUUACCUGAACAGAUUAUUUCAAAGGUCCUCAUUCUGCUCCUGAAGUUUCAAAUAGUGCUAAGGAGAAAUUAAGUAAAGCACACUCCAGCACUGCUUAUGAGCUACACAGUAUCAGACAGGUUGUCAGAAUGCUUUUGCAGACACUUUCAAAGGGCUCUAGGGAAAAAAAAAAGUUAAGUCAAUAGUCUGCCAUACAGAAAAUUUCAUCAUAGUUAUUUCUCAAAUGUCAGGUAUGAAUUAGGUUUGAUUUAUUGGAUUGUGUUUUAGUGAAACAUCUAAAAAAACAGUAGAGUAGAUGUAUUUUCAGAGCCUGAGUACACAUGCCUUGACUAAGAGUUCAGGGAAGGAUAUUUUGUGGGAGGAUGUUGCAGUCUGUAUUUUCUGUAGCAGGAUUACAACGACAGGUAGUGAAGAUGUGGGAAGACUGUGUACUUCAACACAAAACUUCCAGAAAGGGAACAGAUUUGCCAGUACUGAGGAAGCUUUUAGAAAGGGAAAACUGAGGUACAUAUAUUGCCACAGAAACAAGUGGUAAAUAUUCACAUUUUUAUCAGGAGGACAGUAAAGAUACUUCUGGACCAAUGGUCAUUAUGCUAUAUAGUGCUUUACAAGUCCAAUUAUACAAAUACUUGGAAAAUUUAGUUGUACAUAACUACUUCAGUGCUUUCUAGUGUAAUUAUACAAAGUGUGUGUAGAUCAUAUCUACACAGAGAGUAAAACCAGUAGACAUGAAAUGUACAGCCUCAGUGGUUUCAAUUUUCACUCAUGUCAUCACUGUUGCAGAAGGAGCCGCUCUGUGAGGAAACCCUGUUACAAUGAACACCAGAGGAGAAACUGCCUGCUGCCUCCAAGGACCUGACAUUUGUUCUUCCUUACCUGGCUGCUCCACUUCAUCUAGAAUGAAUAUUAUCAUGAAUUAUGGCAUAUGACAUUCCCUCUGUAGAUGAACUGUGGCCUGUCCCAUUGGCAAUCUUAUAAAUGAACCAGUCAUCACUUGUGGGAAAUUUCAGAACCUAUAAAAUUACUUUGCUUUGGGAAAUGGCUGAGUUUUCAUUUUUCAUUCAGGACCAGUCACAAAGGAAACCAGAGGCAUCAGUAUGCUAUCUCCAAUUUUAAAAAGUGCUGAGCAGACAAUAUUUGACUUUUAAAAAGAAAGGGGAAAAAAAAAGUAUAUCUUAAAUUGGAAGAGUUAAAUGUAAUCCUGUUCUUUUUUACCUUAAAGUGGUAGGAAUGAUAUCUUCCAACAACUAACCUAGCUUGCAGCAGGAAAACAAGUGAGGUAGAGGGCUAGAGGUAGAGUGUUAUUUGUUUUAGGCACACCUUUCAUUUUCUGUAACAUCUUUUAUCUAUUUCCAAAAUUGAUCUGUAUACUACUGAAAAUUAUUUGUUUUCUUUAAUUCUGUUUUUGUGAAUUUUUCUUGAAUAUUAAGCUAUGAAUUACAUUUAAUAAUUUUGCUAAACAAGCAUUGAAAAUUAUCACACAACAGGCACAAGAAUCUCAGAAGCAUUUUAAAGCUCUAUAUUAAUUUAUUCUAAGACACAGUCGUGUCUUCCAUUAGGUUAAAUAUAUUGCAUUGAGUGACCUGUAGGAUUUGCUAAACCAAGGGAAAAGUGUUUUAAAAUCCUGAGAAUUAGGAAUAAAUGAAAGUACAGCUUUGUACUCCAGAUUGCUGUAUAUGAGACCCUUUAUAACAGAGAUAUGAGCACCAAAUCGUUUGAUGUACCUGGCUGAAGGAAAUGAGCAGCGUGAUCAAAUUAAGAUUUGAAGAAGUAAGUACAUAAUAUUUACAUAUCUGGAAAUAAGAAAUAGCCUUGAGAUGAAAAUAUUUUUACUUGCUACUUCAGUGGAGUAGGUUUUGUAGGUGCUUGUCACUUCUAUGGGUAUCUACUUGUGGGUAUGCCUGCUGAGUGCACAGACAGAUCCUAGCACAAGAACAAGAUGAUCUGAUGCCUUUGUAGGGACCUUUCUUAGAUGAGCUCUGAGAUACCUACACUGACAGGCUUUAGAGGCCACAACUCUCAGAAGCAGAGAAAAUUUUCAGACCAACUGCUGGAACCUGGUAGUAGAAAUAAAUGCUUUAUCUCUUAUAUGACAACAUCAAAAUUGGAUCAGAAAGUAAGUAAAAAAAUCGUAGAUAAAAAUUAUUUCUAUGAAUACUUCAUCCAUAACAGAGGUAAGUAUAACCUGAGAGGAUUUUUUUCUUUGUAGCAUCAUAAAAAUCAGUGGUGUGGAACUGUAUUCCUGCCUGCAACUUUCCUCUUUGUGACAGAUCCCAGAUUUGGUAUUUUCAAGACAGCAUUUCCCUAACCACUACUACGGAGAACACUGUGUCUUGAAAGGCUCUUGGAGGAGUGUGUUUUAAAAAAACUUUCAUGUGUCCAAUCUCCUGUUUGGCCUUUCACACAAGAGGCACAACCUGGCACAGGAGAAGUCUCAUGUGGUGGUGAUAAGACUGAUGGUGGGAGUUCAAGUCAAUGCAUAAAGCAAAAAACUGAAGUUGGACAUUAUUUCAUCUGGCUAUUUCCAUAAGGAAAAUAGGGUAACAGCACUUUAUUUGCUACAAAACCAGAAAAUUUAAUUGGAUAGUUGAGAAAUUCUAGAUUAACAAAUUGUGUCACCAGGCUUAAAGCUUCACUGAUAAAAACAAUUCACAGUGCCACUUUAUGGAUAGAUUCAUUGUAGGAAUCCACAGGGUUAGUCAUGGGACUAAGCUUGGUGUUAAGAAACUCCAGUCCAGAAGAGAUUAUAUUUCAGUCUGUACUGUCAUGUUAAAUUAGGGUUCCAGUUUGCACUUUCAUCCACAUGUCUGAUUGUCUGUGCUGCUUGCUUAUUGAUUUAUACUCCAACUAAUAUCUGGAGCAAACCAGCCAAUUUACCAGGUGGUAAAUAGAAACAGAAACACAGACUCACAAAAUUGAAUCUUGCCUUUUCAGGCUGGGGCAACUCCAAUCUCUCAAGGCACAGGGCAUAAAUGUGGGUUAUUCUUUGUCAUAAUUAAAUAAAUACAGAUUAGAAGAGCAUAGAAAAUCCCCCUGCAAAUCCCCACCAAGGGAGUCUGGUAUUGUGAUUUCUCCUGGGACCAUAUCUAAAUGAAAUUCCUUUUUCCUUUUCAUUCUCUGACACCAAUGCUUCUGAUUUUUUACCAAGACAGAAAAAAGAGACAGAACAGGAGAGAAAUGAGGCUGAAAUGUUGCCUUGCUUAACUUCUUUAGAAUGCUCAGGAUUAUGCAGGAGACAAAAAAAACCCAACCCUCAAGAAUGUUAAAACCAGUGUUGAUUUCUUUCCAGACGUUUCUAAGAUCAUAACAUCUGAUUCUAAACAGAGCCUGAGGUCAGAAGUGCUUUUUUCACUUCAGCUAAUUUCCUGUAUUCCAGUAAUUUUGCUUUUUAUUCCAGUUAAUGCCAGAAAAUACAAUUGCACAAUCUGCAAACAUGAAUUUAACUGUACUUUUUCUAACCCUACAAUAGUGUUUCUCAGUCAAGUACAUGAAUAUUUUGUCACAUAGGUCGAUGGGCUUUUGAGACAAAUUUUUCCAGCUUUCACAGAAAACCGUCCCUUUCUUUUGCAUCUCCAAAAUAAUCAAUGCCUUUUAUUUUGGAUUGCCAUGGAAUUAUUGAUUUUCUAAUGCACAGUCUCUUAUUAAACUCAUUAUACCUUCACUCUUACUAAACCAUGGGGACUGAGAAAUGGUUGAAUGCAGCCCCAUUUCCAAACAAUUGCUCAGCUGGAGCUGUUGUUAGCAGUACAGUGUGACAAAUUGCCCAGAUUGCCCAGAUUAUUUAUUGCAUCCAAAAGAGUUACAGACUGAAAUGACUUCUACUUGCAUAGUUAUUAAAAAGGUUUUCUACAAAUAUAUUUGUAAGAAACUUUAUGUUCACUGACAAUAAAAGCAUUUUCAAGACA
Molecule: long non-coding RNA, 4232 nt
Organism: Parus major (Great Tit)
Lineage: Eukaryota; Metazoa; Chordata; Aves; Passeriformes; Paridae
Exons: 2
Source: RefSeq, a predicted model, not a curated record